This is a long non-coding RNA of Nelumbo nucifera (sacred lotus), 274 nucleotides long. RefSeq lists it as uncharacterized. Lineage: Eukaryota; Viridiplantae; Streptophyta; Magnoliopsida; Proteales; Nelumbonaceae. The record is from RefSeq and is a predicted model, not a curated record.
CCAGGUGGUAAUUGAAGGUGGUCAAGAAGCAUCACAUGUCACAACUACUGAUCGUCGUGCUGGGUAAUUUGAGGCCAAAUUCUUUCACAAGAUCCUUCAAGAAGAAAUUGGGGGCGUGAAAGGGCAUUUUGGACCAAUAAAUGCUUUGGCAUUCAAUCCUGAUGGAAGAAGUUUCUCAAGUGGAGGUGAAGAUGGUUAUGUCAGAUAAUAUCACUUUGAUCCAGAUUACUUCAAUAUCAAGAUGUAACUCCCAAGCAUGCUGACAAGGAGAAUU